Molecule: non-coding RNA, 27 nt
Filed under: Homo sapiens (human)
Lineage: Eukaryota; Metazoa; Chordata; Mammalia; Primates; Hominidae
Source: RNAcentral
UUCACGCGCUGGAUGAUCUCUUUCCUC